GAUGAACGCUGGCGGCGUGCCUAACACAUGCAAGUCGAACGGAGUUACAGUGAAACCUAGUGAUCUGUAACUUAGUGGCGGACGGGUGAGUAACGCGUGGAUAACCUGCCUUGUACAGGGGGAUAACACCUGGAAACAGGUGCUAAGACCGCAUAAGCGCACAGUCUCGCAUGGGACAGUGUGAAAAACUCCGGUGGUACAAGAUGGAUCCGCGUCUGAUUAGCCAGUUGGCGGGGUAACGGCCCACCAAAGCGACGAUCAGUAGCCGGCCUGAGAGGGUGAACGGCCACAUUGGGACUGAGACACGGCCCAA
This 313-nucleotide ribosomal RNA is filed under the name uncultured bacterium. Its description in RNAcentral is "bacterial SSU rRNA". It matches the Rfam family "Bacterial small subunit ribosomal RNA", at positions 28 to 334 of the family's 1533-position model. The record is from RNAcentral.